UGAAUUGAGCUCUUUGAGUUCUUUUUGUUUUAAAAAGAUGAGAUUUUCAAAAUGACUCUCUAAUUGGUAAGAAAACAUCUUUUAAUUUCAAAAGUAAGUUCCUAAGUUGAAAAAGGUUUAAGAUUUCACCAAAAGACUAUUCCCAGACAAGAGAGGUGAGCCAAGGGCUGCUUAAAUACCAAGUCUUGCCUAGCCAGAAUGUCUAAGGUUACUUACUUGACCAAUUUUCAAAGAGAAUUCACUAUUGAAUUUAAAAGUGGACUCAAACAAACAAAGAUUAAAAACAAACACCUAGACUCCUACUUGCAGACUUCUAAGUAGAUCACCUAAACGAGAAACACAAAAAAAAUUCAAACAUAAGUAAGAAAAAGUUUUGCCAAGAGUUGAAAGAAAGAGCACCAAGGACUCUUCCCACACCACUUGGACUUUGAAUGGCCGUUUACAAAGAAGAAAUCAAAGCAAACCUAUUACAAAUCCAAAAAUGAACCAAAACUAUUACUACACAAAGGUUGCUGUUACGGUGUGCUCAAAAUCCUGCUGCAGAAAUGCACUCUAAUUAUGGUAUCCUUAGGUCUUCUAGCUCAUGUGCAUUAUGUAAAAGAUUCCUCCCUUUUCUCGGCUUUGGAAAAUUGAUGUAGUGAAAAGAUCCUAGUUAUUCUCCAAUGAUUGCCCAAAAUUGUUUGCUUUCGGCUUUGCACAAAUGACGUGGGAAAAAGGUUCCAAUCUGUUCUCAAGUUGUUGUUCUAGCUUUCAAACCAGUUCACAAAUCUGGUGCACACAGUUUAUCACAAGAAGCUUGAUGACUCUGCUGCAGCUAAUUAUCAAAUAAUUUCCAGAUUAAUUCUACCUAGCUGCAACAUGCCAAAACAACCAAUAUACAAGCACUAGCAAUUGGAAUUUGGAAAGUAAUCAAGACUAAUCAAAAUCAGAAUUUCAAAACUGAACAAAACAGUGUAACAUAUAUGAUGUGAGGAAUUCUGAUUUGGAUCAGCUCAACAAGUGUAAUUCAACAAGUUUAUUUGACAAAAAUCAGAUUAAUAAAUGUUGAA
RNAcentral lists this long non-coding RNA (1049 nucleotides) under Vigna radiata. RNAcentral's name for it is "long non-coding RNA (VRAD_LNC008068)". Lineage: Eukaryota; Viridiplantae; Streptophyta; Magnoliopsida; Fabales; Fabaceae. The record is from RNAcentral.